This 484-nucleotide ribosomal RNA is filed under the name uncultured bacterium. RNAcentral's name for it is "partial 16S ribosomal RNA". It matches the Rfam family "Bacterial small subunit ribosomal RNA", at positions 30 to 507 of the family's 1533-position model. The record is from RNAcentral.
AUUGAACGCUGGCGGCAGGCCUAACACAUGCAAGUCGAGCGGAUGAAGGGGGCUUGCUCCUGGAUUCAGCGGCGGACGGGUGAGUAAUGCCUAGGAAUCUGCCUGGUAGUGGGGGAUAACGUCCGGAAACGGGCGCUAAUACCGCAUACGUCCUGAGGGAGAAAGGGGGGGAUCUUCGGACCUCACGCUAUAAGAUGAGCCUAGGUCGGAUUAGCUAGUUGGUGGGGUAAAGGCCUACCAAGGCGACGAUCCGUAACUGGUCUGAGAGGAUGAUCAGUCACACUGGAACUGAGACACGGUCCAGACUCCUACGGGAGGCAGCAGUGGGGAAUACUGGACAAUGGGCGAAAGCCUGAUCCAGCCAUGCCGCGUGUGUGAAGAAGGUCUUCGGAUUGUAAAGCACUUUAAGUUGGGAGGAAGGGCAGUAAGUUAAUACCUUGCUGUUUUGACGUUACCAACAGAAUAAGCACCGGCUAACUUCGUG